UGACAGGAUAAAAAAUAUUGACGUCUGAAAUUUUCGCAGGAAAAAAAACUGUCCCGGUGUGGGAGGAGCUUUAGAGCGCCGUGGCAGAACUGGGAGCCGUGAGUCAAAACCAGUGAACCCAUUAGAGCGCCCCCUGCUGGAUCAAUGAGGGUCCUCCAAAUCCAAGUCCAGAGACAGAACCUAGACCCAUUAAAGCCAUAAGGAUCCUCAGUCUGGUCCGGAUCCGUCUUACCGGGUCAGAGCAGGUCUGGAUCCGUCCUCCUCAGGCAAAAACUGCAGACCACGUCCUUCUUUUGACCCGGGUAGGAUGUGGUCUGACUCGGGCCGGGUCGGUUUAGCAGAGAUCCAGUUCAGGAAAAACUGAUCAGGGUUUCAGCUGGUUGACCCAGUUUUCUGUCAGGGUUUCUACUUCCUGUCCUCGGACUCUGACCCGCCUCUUUUUAUACCGUCUGGAUUCACGAGGUUCUGAUCCGAACCUUCUGGACCUGCUGCUGAUUCUUCGGACUGUGAGUGAAGACCAGAACCAGGUCCGGUCUGACCUGGUUCUUUAUUUGGACACAAACCUGAAGGAACCGCGAAACGAGAGAAACCGCCACAACACCGCCAUUUUAACAAGCUCCGCCCCCUGACUCAUGAGCACGCCUGACAGCUCGAGGACGGCCUGAUCCGACAUGUUCCCGGGUUUCCUGCUCAUGUACCGGUCCAUUACACGAUUAAAAACACAUGUUCAGAGUCACAUGACACUGACAUCAUCACCUGAAUUUACCAGACUUUGACCUUUGACCUGCUGUGAGUGAGUGAGGGCAAAGGUCACUUCAGGUUAGUUUCUGCUGCUCUGUUUGAGUGUCCCUGACCUUUGACCCCCUGAAUGUAAAACGCUCUGGAGGGGGCGCUGCGGCCUCAGAGCUGUCAAUCAAGUGUUGUUUACUGAUCAGCUGUUGUUGUUGUUGUUUAUGUUUAUUCAGUUUGAAAACAGGAAAUGAUGUCAUGAGUGAGAAAUAAAAACAGGAAAAGAAA
This is a non-coding RNA of Xyrichtys novacula (pearly razorfish), 1017 nucleotides long. The record is from the annotation of a GenBank genome assembly. Lineage: Eukaryota; Metazoa; Chordata; Actinopteri; Labriformes; Labridae.